GACGAACGCUGGCGGCGUGCUUAACACAUGCAAGUCGAACGAAGAGCGACGGAAGCUUGCUUCUAUCAAUCUUAGUGGCGAACGGGUGAGUAACGCGUAAUCAACCUGCCCUUCAGAGGGGGACAACAGUUGGAAACGACUGCUAAUACCGCAUACGAUCUGAUCUCGGCAUCGAGGAUGGAUGAAAGGUGGCCUCUACAUGUAAGCUAUCACUGAAGGAGGGGAUUGCGUCUGAUUAGCUAGUUGGAGGGGUAACGGCCCACCAAGGCGAUGAUCAGUAGCCGGUCUGAGAGGAUGGACGGCCACAUUGGGACUGAGACACGGCCCAGACUCCUACGGGAGGCAGCAGUGGGGAAUCUGCCGCAAUGGACGAAAGUCUGACGGAGCAACGCCGCGUGAGUGAUGACGGCCUUCGGGUUGUAAAGCUCUGUUAAUCGGGACGAAAGGCCUUCUUGCGAAUAGUGAGAAGGAUUGACGGUACCGGAAUAGAAAGCCACGGCUAACUACGUG
This 510-nucleotide ribosomal RNA is filed under the name uncultured bacterium. Its description in RNAcentral is "partial 16S ribosomal RNA". It matches the Rfam family "Bacterial small subunit ribosomal RNA", at positions 28 to 507 of the family's 1533-position model. The record is from RNAcentral.